Thalassophryne amazonica is the source of this 138-nucleotide small nucleolar RNA. RefSeq annotates it as small nucleolar RNA SNORA5. NCBI's taxonomy places the organism in Eukaryota, Metazoa, Chordata, Actinopteri, Batrachoidiformes, Batrachoididae. The transcript has a single exon. The record is from RefSeq and is a predicted model, not a curated record.
UGCAGCUUUGUCAAAUUCAGUGCUGCCCCAUUAGUGGCAUGUGCUGGCCAAAACGGCUGCAACAGUGACUUUGUAGUUCAUGGGCCCCACAUUUUUUUGAUCAUGGAAUGUGGGGAUAAAUAUGCACUGCAGACAAAA